Molecule: ribosomal RNA, 254 nt
Filed under: uncultured bacterium
Lineage: Bacteria
Description: partial 16S ribosomal RNA
Rfam family: Bacterial small subunit ribosomal RNA
Source: RNAcentral
UACGUAGGGGGCGAGCGUUGUCCGGAUUUAUUGGGCGUAAAGAGCUCGUAGGCGGUUUGGUAAGUUGGAUGUGAAAUCUCCAGGCUCAACCUGGAGGGGUCAUUCGAUACUGCCGUGACUAGAGUUCGGUAGAGGAGUGUGGAAUUCCUGGUGGAGCGGUGAAAUGCGCAGAGAUCAGGAGGAACACCCGUAGCGAAGGCGGCACUCUGGGCCGAUACUGACACUGAGGAGCGAAAGCGUGGGGAGCGAACAGG